AUGGGGUUUUGCUGUGGGUGUUCGGAUGUCAAGGUGCUCCCCAAGAACAACUCCUUGGCUUCCUCGCCCUCGCCGUCCGCUAAAGAUUCCAGCGAUGGCGCCAAGAAGAAGCAGCCUCAAGCCGUAAAGAAGGAAGGGAAAGAGAAGAAAAGGAGCAACCUUGACCGGGCCGCCAUGGCGUCGCCCCGCCUCCCCUUCCAUUCUCGACCCGGCCUAAUGUAA
This 222-nucleotide ribosomal RNA is filed under the name Triticum aestivum (bread wheat). RNAcentral's name for it is "partial small subunit ribosomal RNA". Lineage: Eukaryota; Viridiplantae; Streptophyta; Magnoliopsida; Poales; Poaceae. The record is from RNAcentral.